This 253-nucleotide ribosomal RNA is filed under the name uncultured bacterium. RNAcentral describes it as "partial 16S ribosomal RNA". It matches the Rfam family "Bacterial small subunit ribosomal RNA", at positions 524 to 776 of the family's 1533-position model. The record is from RNAcentral.
UACGAAGGGGCCUAGCGUUGUUCGGAAUCACUGGGCGUAAAGCGCACGUAGGCGGAUUCGUAAGUCAGGGGUGAAAUCCCGGGGCUCAACCUCGGAACUGCCUUUGAUACUGCGGGUCUUGAGUCCGAUAGAGGUGGGUGGAAUUCCUCGUGUAGAGGUGAAAUUCGUAGAUAUUAGGAAGAACACCGGUGGCGAAGGCGGCCCACUGGACCGGUACUGACGCUGAGGCGCGAAAGCGUGGGGAGCAAACAGG